Molecule: long non-coding RNA, 802 nt
Filed under: Triticum aestivum (bread wheat)
Lineage: Eukaryota; Viridiplantae; Streptophyta; Magnoliopsida; Poales; Poaceae
Description: long non-coding RNA (TAES_LNC003596)
Source: RNAcentral
GCCGCCCAGUUCACACUCCUGCGCCUCGAGCGCGACUCGCCUCAGCGCUCAGCUCAGAUCGCCGCACCAAUCCUCGGCGAAGGAGGUAAUUAACAGCACCCCUACCUGCAAUUUCCGGUCUAAAACCGUUGAUCUCCACUCCCUGUUAGCUCAUGAUGCUUCUUUAGUACUACUACUACUAGUAGUAGUAGUAGUAGUAGUAGUAGUAGUAGGGCACCAGCGCUCUGGUCCGAGGUCAGCCUGCCAAACCUCCGCGCCUUGUGUUAGUUAGGUCUGUUCUUGAUUUGGGCACUGAUCACCUCGUACUUGUUUGGGCGGUAGGGCUUCUUUCAAAGGGCUGGGGUUAUUGGUGCUGUUUAGGGUUACUAGAGCUAUAAUAAGAUGCCGGCUGUUCCUUUGCCGAAAUUGCUUGUGGCAUUGCUGUGUCUGUAUGCGCCUGAAUCUCAACAUUUGUGGCAUGUGAUGCUUAAUCUGUGCACCACUGCUGUUCUUGGUGCAGCUUUUCGUGUGAUAUUUGCGGUAUGUGCUGCGCAAUCUUCGUUUACACGCUGUGGUGAAGCACCAAAUUUGUGCUUGCUGUGCUUAUAAUAGACAGGUGAACGAUUUCAAACCGCGGACUGAACUUUGUUUCAAGUCUGAAUUUGUGUUCCUAACCUUUUUGAGUGCUCUUCUUGCUUUCAGAGAAAAUCCCAACGGUUUCCUCGGGCCACCGAAGCUUCCGAUUUCGUCUGUUGGAGAUAUCUUUGAGCCAAAAACUCUUCAGAUAGUGAGUCUGAAUUCCUUGACCUUCAGCCUCCUUUAG